RNAcentral lists this ribosomal RNA (253 nucleotides) under uncultured bacterium. RNAcentral's name for it is "partial 16S ribosomal RNA". It matches the Rfam family "Bacterial small subunit ribosomal RNA", at positions 524 to 776 of the family's 1533-position model. The record is from RNAcentral.
UACGUAGGGACCAAGCGUUGUUCGGAUUACUGGGCGUAAAGGGCGCGUAGGCGGCGUGGUAAGUCACUUGUGAAAUCUCCGAGCUUAACUCGGAACUGCCAAGUGAUACUGCUGUGCUAGAGUGCAGAAGGGGCAACCGGAAUUCUUGGUGUAGCGGUGAAAUGCGUAGAUAUCAAGAGGAACACCUGAGGUGAAGACGGGUUGCUGGGCUGACACUGACGCUGAGGCGCGGAAAGCUAGGGUAGCAAACGGG